UACUCUACAGCGGCAGAGGAUCCACCGCGCGGCGCGGCGCCUGCCGAAAGGGUGGCCGCUGCACCUGUGUUGCAGCACCCUGUUCGGCCACCACGUCGACAGCGACCGCGACGGGUGGAUACCCUGACUACGAUGUCGUCGCAGUGCGCCCGCAGCCUGGAACAGGGCGACGAGGUGCUGCAGGUGCUGCGCAGAAUCGAGGCUUCCACAACCCGCCUCGCUGUCGUGGCAGAACGGACGGCAGCAGCCCAGGAGGGGAUCCUGGAACAGGUGCGCG
This 277-nucleotide long non-coding RNA is filed under the name Dermacentor andersoni. Its description in RNAcentral is "uncharacterized LOC126516456". Lineage: Eukaryota; Metazoa; Arthropoda; Arachnida; Ixodida; Ixodidae. The record is from RNAcentral.